AGCAGCCGCGGUAAUUCCAGCUCCAAUAGCGUAUAUUAAAGUUGUUGCAGUUAAAAAGCUCGUAGUUGAAUUUCGGGAUUGACGUGAUGGUCGUGCCUUAAGGGGUAUGAACUGUCGCUGUUGAUUUCUCACCUUCUGGAGAAACUUGAUGUCCUUAAUUGGGUGUCUUGCGGAUCCAGGACCUUUACCUUGAAAAAUUAGAGUGUUUAAAGCAGGCAUUUUUGCUCGAAUACAUUAGCAUGGAAUAAUAGAAUAGGACGGCAUGGUUCUAUUUUGUUGGUUUCUAGGAUCACCGUAAUGAUUAAUAGGGAUAGUUGGGGGCAUUAGUAUUCAAUUGUCAGAGGUGAAAUUCUUGGAUUUAUUGAAGACUAACUACUGCGAAAGCAUUUGCCAAGGAUGUUUUCAUUAAUCAAGAACGAAAGUUAGGGGAUCGAAGACGAUCAGAUACCGUCGUAGUCUUAACCAUAAACUAUGCCGACUAGGAAUCAGACGAUGUUAAUUUUUAAUGACUCGUUUGGUA
This 520-nucleotide unclassified non-coding RNA is filed under the name uncultured Entrophospora. RNAcentral's name for it is "SSU rRNA". It matches the Rfam family "Eukaryotic small subunit ribosomal RNA", at positions 569 to 1085 of the family's 1831-position model. Lineage: Eukaryota; Fungi; Glomeromycota; Glomeromycetes; Entrophosporales; Entrophosporaceae. The record is from RNAcentral.